Molecule: transfer RNA, 60 nt
Filed under: Nostoc linckia z8
Lineage: Bacteria; Bacillati; Cyanobacteriota; Cyanophyceae; Nostocales; Nostocaceae
Description: tRNA-Ala
Rfam family: tRNA
About the family: Transfer RNA (tRNA) molecules are approximately 80 nucleotides in length.
Source: RNAcentral
AUAGCUCAGUUGGGAGAGCGCUAGCUUUGCAAGCUUGAGGUCGUCGGUUCGAUCCCGACU